Molecule: long non-coding RNA, 487 nt
Filed under: Sorghum bicolor (sorghum)
Lineage: Eukaryota; Viridiplantae; Streptophyta; Magnoliopsida; Poales; Poaceae
Description: long non-coding RNA (SBIC_LNC009545)
Source: RNAcentral
UGGUAUCUAGAGCCAAAUUUAUAGAAGAAGAUCAUGGAAGGUAUGAUGGACAUGUUCCACACCGCGCAAGGCUUGCAUGGGGGUGUCCAGAGAAGGACAUGGCGCAAGGUGGAGCAUGGCGGCGAUCGACGACUUGAUCGUUGAAGUUGGAAACUUCGAGCGGGUGGCUCGGACCGUCCAAUGGGCUGCAAUUAACAGGGAUCGUUCCAGACGUGGAGAUCGGGUUGAUGGCGGCUGGUGGCUGUUGUUCGAUAGGGGUCGGUCAGACGUGACGACCAGGUUCGACGGUACGGCUAGAAGACGUCGUGGAUGAGACGGCGGCUUUGACUCGCGGUCAGGUUGAUGAGAUUUUGAUCUUGAUCGUGAUGAUCGUUGCUGGAGUAGUAACGAUGACGGCAAAAAGCUAUAGUGGACUCAUCGUGUUUUGAUGGAGGUGUCAUGCAUCGGCAAUAUUGUGGGCGUUCAGUAUGGCCAAGUAAAGACGGGC